This is a long non-coding RNA of Acipenser ruthenus (sterlet), 1284 nucleotides long. RefSeq lists it as uncharacterized. Lineage: Eukaryota; Metazoa; Chordata; Actinopteri; Acipenseriformes; Acipenseridae. The transcript is spliced from 4 exons. The record is from RefSeq and is a predicted model, not a curated record.
UAUUUAUUUAUUUAUUUAGCAGAGUUUUAUCCAAGGCGACUUACAGAGACGAAUAUGGUGAAGAGAAAAGACAAGACUCUGAUGCUGUUUGCAAGUAGUGAAUCAUUGUUGUAGACACUGUAUCUAAGGUUUUUACUAUACUGCUUUUUACCAGCACAGUAGAUUGACAAUCUGGUUUCCCCUCCCUACACUUGUUGCUUCAUUGUGAUUGGCUACAAUGUACAGCGAGAGUGAAAACAUCUCUGUGGAGAUCGGCAAUGGAGCCUCAACAGAGAUGCUAUCGCUUCACUGCAGUGUGGACACCCCUAUUGAAAUACAGGGGUCACACACACGUUGCACAUGUGUCAAUCCAAUUUUAGACUGUGUGUUUAAUUUAACAAACAGAUGUUAUCAUGCUUAAUAAAUGAUUUGCUUCAUUUUCAUGCACGCAAGAUAUGUUCAUUUUUGUUGUUAUAGUGACAUAUCAGAAGGCGCGCAAGAAAGGGCAACAGAAACAUCCGAUAUGAACAAACACAGAAGCGGAAGUGUCCAACAACAACAGUAGCAUCACACAGCAGCAGCAGCAAGAACACCAGCAACAGUGAAGAUGGAAAUAUCAGCAGUGAUGACAGGAACUACAACAGCAACACCAGCAGCAAUGACACUGGAACUGGGAACAGGGACAGUGACAAGAGCAGCUAUCAGACAGGGAUAGGAUGAUCUUCACCAUUUUAGAAGAAAUCAAGGGCCAGGGGAGACAAAACACCCUGAUGCUUCAGGCACUUCUCAAGUGGCAGCCUCAGGUAGAGCAAGAGCAUGGCAGCCUGCGCUUGGAUGAAUUCCAGUUUUCUUUUGCCAUCAAGGAGGACAUUGACAGAGUGGAGAGGAUGUUAAUGGACCAAGCUACAGAAAAGGCACUGCUGCAGCCAAGAAGUCUUCUGUCACGGAGGCAGACACAGAGGCCAGGAUGAGGAGCUGGCUAAAGUACAGUGGAGACCGGGAUGGGGAGCGGAAGAGGAGGGCAGAAAAGAAAAAGGAUGCAGAGUCUGCAAAUGCUGCUACAAUUGCUGCUGCUAGUGCUGCCAGUGACAUUGAAGAAGAUUAAGAGAUUGUUUGAGCCAUCUUUUUGCAUUCUAGACAGAUAUUUGAACACAAAUAAGCUUAAUAAACACUGUUGAAUGUAAAGCUAGUUGUUUCUUUUUUCUUUCUUUCUCAAAUUCAAUUUGUUACAGCUUUGGGCAACGUCAUUCAUGUUGUAAUGUUGCACAUAUACUGUGCAUACAACCCCAGUAGUAUGCUGACGUU